AAUGAACGCUGGCGGCAGACCUAACACAUGCAAGUCGAACGGAUCCUUCGGGAUUAGUGGCGGACGGGUGAGUAACGCGUGGGAACAUACCCUUUGGUACGGAAUAGCCUCGGGAAACUGGGAGUAAUACCGUAUGUGGUCGAGAGACGAAAGAUUUAUCGCCAAAGGAUUGGCCCGCGUUGGAUUAGGUAGUUGGUGGGGUAAUGGCCUACCAAGCCGACGAUCCAUAGCUGGUUUGAGAGGAUGAUCAGCCACACUGGGACUGAGACACGGCCCAGACUCCUACGGGAGGCAGCAGUAGGGAAUCUUAGACAAUGGGGGAAACCCUGAUCUAGCCAUGCCGCGUGAUCGAUGAAGGCCUUAGGGUUGUAAAGAUCUUUCAGGUGGGAAGAUAAUGACUGUACCACCAGAAGAAGCCCCGGCUAACUCCGUGCCAGCCGCCGCGGUAA
Molecule: ribosomal RNA, 449 nt
Filed under: uncultured bacterium
Lineage: Bacteria
Description: partial 16S ribosomal RNA
Rfam family: Bacterial small subunit ribosomal RNA
Source: RNAcentral